Molecule: ribosomal RNA, 373 nt
Filed under: uncultured organism
Description: partial 16S ribosomal RNA
Rfam family: Bacterial small subunit ribosomal RNA
Source: RNAcentral
GUAGGUGGCAAGCGUUGUCCGAAAUUAUUGGGCGUAAAGCGCGCGCAGGCGGUUCUUUAAGUCUGAUGUGAAAGCCCACGGCUCAACCGUGGAGGGUCAUUGGAAACUGGAGAACUUGAGUACAGAAGAGGAAAGCGGAAUUCCACGUGUAGCGGUGAAAUGCGUAGAGAUGUGGAGGAACACCAGUGGCGAAGGCGGCUUUCUGGUCUGUAACUGACGCUGAGGCGCGAAAGCGUGGGGAGCAAACAGGAUUAGAUACCCUGGUAGUCCACGCCGUAAACGAUGAGUGCUAAGUGUUAGGGGGUUUCCGCCCCCCUUAGUGCUGCAGCUAACGCAUUAAGCACUCCGCCUGAGGAGUACGGCCGCAAGGCUG